RNAcentral lists this ribosomal RNA (465 nucleotides) under uncultured bacterium. Its description in RNAcentral is "partial 16S ribosomal RNA". It matches the Rfam family "Bacterial small subunit ribosomal RNA", at positions 28 to 507 of the family's 1533-position model. The record is from RNAcentral.
GACGAACGCUGGCGGCGUGCUUAACACAUGCAAGUCGAACGGAAAGGCCCUGCUUGCAGGGUACUCGAGUGGCGAACGGGUGAGUAACACGUGGGUGAUCUGCCCUUCACUUCGGGAUAAGCCUGGGAAACUGGGUCUAAUACCGGAUAGGAGCCAUUUUUAGUGUGAUGGUUGGACAGUUUUUUCGGUGUAGGAUGAGCUCGCGGCCUAUCAGCUUGUUGGUGGGGUAAUGGCCUACCAAGGCGGCGACGGGUAGCCGGCCUGAGAGGGUGGACGGCCACACUGGGACUGAGAUACGGCCCAGACGCCGACGGGAGGAAGCAGGGGGGAAGAUUGAACAAGGGGCGCAGGCCUGAUGCAGCGACGCCGCGGGGGGGAGGACGGCCUUCGGGUUGUAAAAUCCUUUCGCGAGGGACGAAGCUUUUUGUGACGGUACCUAGAGAAGAAGCACCGGCUAACUACGUG